RNAcentral lists this unclassified non-coding RNA (377 nucleotides) under uncultured Oligoflexaceae bacterium. RNAcentral's name for it is "contains 16S-23S intergenic spacer region". Lineage: Bacteria; Pseudomonadati; Bdellovibrionota; Oligoflexia; Oligoflexales; Oligoflexaceae. The record is from RNAcentral.
UCCGGUUUAACACCGGCAGUCUCCCUAGAGUCCCCAACUUAAUGCUGGUAACUAAGGACAGGGGUUGCGCUCGUUGCCGGACUUAACCGAACAUCUUACGACACGAGCUGACGACAGCCAUGCAGCACCUAUCCUACCGUCUCCGAAGAGAAGGCCCCAUCUCUGGGGUUGUCGAUAAAUGUUAAGCCCAGGUAAGGUUCUGCGCGUUGCUUCGAAUUAAACCACAUACUCCACCGCUUGUGCGGGCCCCCGUCAAUUCCUUUGAGUUUUAGCCUUGCGACCGUACUCCCCAGGCGGAUUACUUAAUGCGUUAGCUUUGGUACCCAAACGGUUAAACAUUCGGACACCUAGUAAUCAUCGUUUACAGCGUGGACUAC